GCCACCUUAGCUCAGUUGGCUAGAGCAACGGUUUUGUAACCCGUAGGUCCCCGGUUCGAGCCCGGGAGGUGGCU
Molecule: transfer RNA, 74 nt
Filed under: bacterium
Lineage: Bacteria
Description: tRNA-Thr
Rfam family: tRNA
About the family: Transfer RNA (tRNA) molecules are approximately 80 nucleotides in length. Their secondary structure includes four short double-helical elements and three loops (D, anti-codon, and T loops). Further hydrogen bonds mediate the characteristic L-shaped molecular structure. tRNAs have two regions of fundamental functional importance: the anti-codon, which is responsible for specific mRNA codon recognition, and the 3' end, to which the tRNAs corresponding amino acid is attached (by aminoacyl-tRNA synthetases). tRNAs cope with the degeneracy of the genetic code in two manners: having more than one tRNA (with a specific anti-codon) for a particular amino acid; and 'wobble' base-pairing, i.e. permitting non-standard base-pairing at the 3rd anti-codon position.
Source: RNAcentral